This 153-nucleotide unclassified non-coding RNA is filed under the name soil metagenome. RNAcentral describes it as "partial internal transcribed spacer 1". The record is from RNAcentral.
GUGAUUAAAUCGAGCGUGUCCUCAUUGACCGCUCACCCUUCUCACCAUCCACAUACACCUGUGCACUGUUUAGCCUGAGCCGGUUUUCCGGUCCAAGUUAUCAUUUCAUACAAACUCUAGUCUUAUGAAUGUAAACGUUUUAAUAACAUAAUA